Molecule: long non-coding RNA, 227 nt
Filed under: Linum usitatissimum (flax)
Lineage: Eukaryota; Viridiplantae; Streptophyta; Magnoliopsida; Malpighiales; Linaceae
Description: long non-coding RNA (LUSI_LNC004064)
Source: RNAcentral
UAGGUGUUGCUUCAUCCAAUUUAACGUCGGCGACCCAUUGGAGAAUCCAUGUUUUUUCUUUUUUUAUCCAUAAAUUUUUUUUGACAUAUAUAAGAGGAUUCUCGUAAGAGAGAAGAAUAUAAAUGUGUAACAUCCCAACCGGUCCGACUAAAUAUUAUCCUAUUUACGUCUAGACCCUCGAAGAUUUUAUUUAGGAUGGUUCUUGAGGUCUACAAAUCUGUAGAUUU